GGGGAAUCGGUCUUGAUGUGGAUCCGCCAUUAGUUAACUCUUCGGGAUGUGGAGUUCACAUCGUUUACCUUGAAAAAAUUAGAGUGUCAAAGCAGGCUUUUGCUUGAAUAUAUUAGCAUGGAAUAAUGGAAUAGGACCCUGGUUCUAUUUUGUUGGUUUGAGAACCAGAGUAAUGAUUAAUAGGGAUAGUUGGGGGCAUUCAUAUUUCAUUGUCAGAGGUGAAAUUCUUGGAUUUAUGAAAGAUGAACUUCUGCGAAAAUUUUCCAAGGAUGUUUUCAUUAAUCAAGAACAAAGUUAGGGGAUCGAAGACGUCAGAUAUGUCGUAGUCUUAACCAUAAACUUGCCGACUAGGAUUGGCGUGGUUUGUUCAUUGACCCGCUCAGACCUUACGAGAAAUCAAAGCUUUGGGUUCCGGGGGAGUAUGGGCCGCAGGGUGAAACUUAAAGGAAUUGACGGAGGGGCACACCAGGAGUGGAGCCUGCGUUAAUUUGACUCCACACGGGGAAACUUACCAGGGCCAAACAUGGUUGGGAUUGACAGAUGAGAGCUCUUUUCUUGAUUCUAUGGGGGGGGGGGGCAUGGCCGUUCUUUAGUUUGGGGGAGGAUUUGGCUUGGUUAAUUCCGUUAACGAACGAGAACCUCAGCCUGGUUAACUAGGGAUGGCCAUUUUUUAAUGGGAAGCCCGCUUCUUAGAGGGACUAUUCGUGUUCAACGAUGGAAGUUUGAGGCAUUAACAGGCCG
RNAcentral lists this ribosomal RNA (741 nucleotides) under uncultured eukaryote. Its description in RNAcentral is "partial 18S rRNA". It matches the Rfam family "Eukaryotic small subunit ribosomal RNA", at positions 688 to 1463 of the family's 1831-position model. The record is from RNAcentral.